Xenopus laevis (African clawed frog) is the source of this 1525-nucleotide RNA transcript. It is a transcript of the gene named ribosomal protein S6 kinase 2 beta-like, with no coding region annotated. The record is from RefSeq and is a predicted model, not a curated record. Lineage: Eukaryota; Metazoa; Chordata; Amphibia; Anura; Pipidae. The transcript has 5 exons.
GUAUGGUAAAGCAUUCUACAGAAUAAAUAUAGUCUUAUAGCUUGCACUAUUGUUCCUAAUCUAUUGGCAAUAAACUGCUUCUGUAUCUUGCCUUCUCCUUUAAUGCAGUGCUGUCUGAGGGCCUAAGGAUGACGGGAAUCUAGUAUUGACAACCUUGUCCCUUGUGUACAGAGAUUUCUCCAGAUUCUUUGAAUAUUUCAAUGAUGGUAUAUACCAGGGGUGUCCAAACUUUUUACAACGGGGGCCAGAUUUGGUGAGAUGAAAAUGUGUGGGGGCCGACCAAUCAGCCUGACAUUGUUUGAUUCGAACCAUUAAGUAUAUAUUCAUGAAGCUGCUGGAUCCAGGCAAAAUUAAAUGUGAAGCCAUUAUGGUAUGUUAGUGCCCUACUGCACUGAUCUUCUUCUGUCCCCAUAGACAGCCCUUACCCACCCCCACAUCCAGCCUCUGUAGUCUAUAAUAACUUUUAUUUCAAUUGUUUAUUCUUUCUCAGUUAGACACUCACCUGUAACUCCCCCUCCCUCUCAGAAACAGGCAUGAAAAAAAAGCUUAAAACUCUGUCUCCUCCUUUGCACACAAGCACUCCCUCUGGAGCUCCCCCUCCCUGCCAGAAACUAAAGGUGGACUCCAACUGUAACUUACUUCCCUCCUGCCACAUGUGAUCGCUGAUAAGCAGGAUCAAGCUGCAGCACAUUCAACACUCGCGUCUCUCAGUGAUCCCAUAGAAAUGAAUGUGCGGCAGCAGGAAAUAAUAAGAAUGGGAGCUGAAGAAGCCACGCGUCGAGGAUGAAAGAGCCAAUUCUUUGCUGAUUACCAGCUACAGCUUCCACGUGGAACUUGGGAACAGAUAUUUUUGCAGGGUUAUGUUGGCAACAUUAAACAACACAACAAAGCAUGUGGCUCUUACAAUCUAUGAGAAGCUAGGCAGCAAUAAACAUCUUAUUAAGAAAGAAGCUCAGACACCCAGGAUCAAUGGCGCGUUUCCCUUUCUUUGCAAGGGGCUUGUGGCAUUCCAAACACAGCUUCUAUUCAGCGGAGCUGGUUAUAGGCCUCCAGUUCGUUCACUCAAGGGGGAUUGGGCAUCGUGAUUUAAAACCUGGCAAUAUUUUAAUAACCAACGAUGGCCACAUGAAAAUCACGGAUUUUGGACUGAUAGCAGACAACGUUGACGAGGGAAAGAAGAUGGUGCAGAUAUGUGGAGCCGUACCGUGCAGGGCUCCAGAGAUUCAGUUCUAAUACUGUUAGUAACAGGAAUAGUGAGACUUACAGACCUACCUCUGAGAGCCACCAAAGCAACUUACAGCCACAGGGGUGUAUGCAGAAGGCAUAUGUUGGGAGGUUGCUUAAAGGUUUUAUUAUGAUUGGCCUUGCAGUGUAUAUGGUAUAUAUUUUAUUGCUAUUAUGUUUAUUAUAGCAAGUAUACUAAUUAUAGGGUUACAAGUAUGGCCAAAAGUCUUCAAUCAUCUUAAGCUGUCCAUUAAAAGUUAGAAAAUGAAAAUAAAUCCUGUUUGGUUGCUACUGGCACCUG